This 1207-nucleotide ribosomal RNA is filed under the name Ecnolagria sp. NLG-2012. RNAcentral's name for it is "partial 16S ribosomal RNA". The record is from RNAcentral. Lineage: Eukaryota; Metazoa; Arthropoda; Insecta; Coleoptera; Tenebrionidae.
CCUGAAAAUUUAAAGUUUUGGCAGUAUUUUAAUCUAUUUAGAGGAACCUGUUUUUUAAUUGAUAAUCCACAAUUGAUAAUACUUUAAUUUUAAACUUAUAUAUCGUCGUUUAAAAAAUUUUCUAUGAAAUUUUUUCAGAUCAAGAUAUAGUUUAUAUUAAAGAUUUAAUGGGUUACAUCAAAAAAAAUGUUGAAAAUGGAUUUAAAAGUAAGUUCUAAGAUAUGUACAUAUUGCCCGUCGCUUUUUCUUUAAAGAAAAAUAAGUCGUAACAAAGUAGAUUUACUGGAAAGUGAAUCUAGAUUCAAAUUAAAGCUUAUAAAGUAUUUUAUUUACAUUAAAAAGAUAAUUGAAAAACUCAAUUUGAUUUGAAGUUUAACUCUUUUUUUUUUUAUUAUUUUAUUUUAUUGAAAAAAGUAAAUUAUUUUAUUUUAUAAAUGAAAAAACUAUAAUAAAGAGUACAGAAUUGGAAAUAAUUAUAUAUUUAAAAGAAAUUUUUUUAUUGUACCUUUUGUAUCAGGGUUAAUUCAUUAAUUUUUCCCGAAUUUAAAUGAAUUAAUUUUAAUGUUAAAUAAUUAUUUAAAAUUUUUUAUUGGAAAUUAAAUGUUUUCGAAUUUAAAUAUAUCUGGUUUUUAAAGAAUUUAAUUUAAUUAAUUUAUAGUUUGAUUUAAUUGCACGGGAUAAGCUGUUGAAUUAAUAAUUAAAAAUAUAUUAUCUUAUAAAAAAUUUAAAAUUAAAAUUUUUUAUUUUUUAUUAUAUUUUAUAAUUAAUAUUUUAAUAUUAUAUUUAAAUAUUUAUUUUAACUUAAUUUAUAAAAAGAUAAUGAUUAGAUUAGUAAUAUUAAAUAAAGGAACUAGGCAAUUUAAGUUUUCAACUGUUUAUUAAAAACAUUUCUUUUUGUUAUUAUUUAAAGUCAAACCUGCCCACUGAUUUAAUGGCCGCAGUAUAUUAACUGUGCAAAGGUAGCAUAAUCAUUAGUUUAUUAAUUGUAAGCUUGUAUGAAAGGUUAAAUGAAAGACUUUCUGUCUCUUGAACUUUAUUUUUAAGUCAAAAAGCUUAAAUAAUAUGAAAAGACGAGAAGACCCUAUAGAGUUUUUUUGUUGGGGUGACAAAAAAACUAAAUAAACUUUAUUAAUUGAAUUUAUGAUCCAUGAUUAAAAGAUUAAAUUACCUUAGGUCGCAGCGUAAUUUUUCUUGAGAGUUCUAAUCA